CCUACGGGAGGCAGCAGUGGGGAAUUUUGGACAAUGGGCGCAAGCCUGAUCCAGCAAUGCCGCGUGAGUGAAGAAGGCCUUCGGGUUGUAAAGCUCUUUUGUCAGGGAAGAAACGGUGGAGGCUAAUAUCCUUUGCUAAUGACGGUACCUGAAGAAUAAGCACCGGCUAACUACGUGCCAGCAGCCGCGGUAAUGCGUAGGGUGCAAGCGUUAAUCGGAAUUACUGGGCGUAAAGCGUGCGCAGGCGGUUUUGUAAGUUUGUCGUGAAAUCCCCGGGCUCAACCUGGGAAUGGCGAUGAAGACUGCAAGGCUAGAAUCUGGCAGAGGGGGGUAGAAUUCCACGUGUAGCAGUGAAAUGCGUAGAGAUGUGGAGGAACACCGGUGGCGAAGGCAGCCCCCUGGGUCAAGAUUGACGCUCAUGCACGAAAGCGUGGGGAGCAAACAGGAUUAGAUACCCUGGUAGUCCACGCCCUAAACGAUGUCUACUAGUUGUCGGGUUUUAAUUAACUUGGUAACGCAGCUAACGCGUGAAGUAGACCGCCUGGGGAGUACGGUCGCAAGAUUAAAACUCAAAUGAAAUUGACGG
Molecule: ribosomal RNA, 586 nt
Filed under: uncultured bacterium
Lineage: Bacteria
Description: bacterial SSU rRNA
Rfam family: Bacterial small subunit ribosomal RNA
Source: RNAcentral